AUCUGGGUUGCAUACGAAACUAGCCCGUGUGGAGCGCGCGCGCGCCGACGCCGGCCGCGGCCCUGUUUAAUUGAUGCCGUUUGAUAGAAACAAGCUGCAUGUAGGAUUCAGUCAGCAGCACAGGUCGAAUCGAACGGCACGGAUGCGCGUGAGGGAGGAAACGCGUCGGCGCGGUUUCAGCGAGCUCCGUGUGCAACGCUGGCGCUAAUGUUUGCGCGGACGAUCGGAGCAAACAUGAGAAGUCACAUCGAUCGUGAGUGCGUCUGCUGUGAUGAUUUAGACUUGAACCUUUUUGCUGCAUGUUAUAACACUGUACUUUCUAUUGGAAGUGGAACUCGCAGUGAAUGCUUGUUUCACUAGCGGCUGCUUCUCCUUUUUAAGGUUUAGGGUGAACUUACUUAACAAAAUGCAGAAGCAGGUACAGCAGGGGCCCGUGGUGCAGGUUUACAUCAGUCCGGUUGCAGGGCCGCGUUCUCGCAUUAGAACCACAUCUGGCAGAGUGCUCGGGGAUUCUGUGUCGCCUGUGGAUUUAAUUAGUUUCCAGCGUCUCGUUAAUCAGCCGCUGCGUUUUGAACCCCGAUCAAUAAGGCAGCGGGCCGACGGAGGAGGGCCCCGUCGCACCCGGGCGUCGCACGUGUUUGCUGUCGGCCUCGACAAAAUGCGUCUUGUCAGCAACGCUUCUCUCGCUGUGACCGACCAACAAAUGACGGCUCCGGGCACCUGUGCAGCCAUGUCCGAAUCUCUCCGGAGCUCUCAAGCGGGCGGAUAACAAUCAAGCGGUGGGCGUGGGAGCGCUGGCGUGUUGGCGUGCGGCCGGACUGCGGGUGGAAGCAGACCCGCGGCGCCGUCCUGCAUAUUUCAGCAGGUGUGGAGCAGAACCUGUGCAUCGGCGCCGCGGCGAUCAUCGUCCCGCUUCUAAAUGAGCCAGGCUCAUUUGCUCGCGGCGCUUCUCAUCAUCAUUUAGGUCCUUUCACGGCUCCCCUCUGGACUGUGCUCAGCAUGACUUACAAUUGCCUCGGUGGCCUGACACAAUGGGUUGGAGGCAGCUUAUGAAUAAUCAGGAGCCAACAACGCCUUAUGGGGCUGGAGAUGGAGCAGAAAGGCUUGAUUAGUGGGCGGCUGUGUAAUCAUGUCCAAUAUUUGAGCCGUACACCUGAGUGCGUGAGAGAAACGGGCCGUGGGGAAUUUGACCAUUAUUAGUCCUAUUUACCAUAGAACGUUUCCCUAAUCCCACUCACACCAACAAUCCUUGUAACGAAUUUAUGGCCAUCGAUGCAUUUUAUCUCAUUAACACUCCCUUUAAUGGUAUGUUUAGAUUCCCACCCUCUUCCCCAUGCUGCUGCUAUGUUAGACUAUACACAAAUUACUGUAUGUCUUUAAACCGUCGCAUUCCUGUCCUCUUGCUUUUCUUGCAUUCCUUUCGCCUAUGCAUUUGUUAAUGUAAUAAUCUAACUUUCUUCCCAAUUGCUAAUUAUUAUUAUUGGACUCGUGACAUUUGGACGCCACUGCUUGUGACGGAGGAUUUUAUUACUUCAUAAGUGAGACCUGCAUCGGCUGCAGGGUGAACAUUUGUCAGAAAUCAAUGCGCUGUGUUAGCUGUUAAAUUGAGCGAUAAUUAUAACCAUCCACACAUCAAGCUAACACUGAGAAUAAUACAACACCGACAGGAGCUGGUUCAUAAUUUGCAAACAACUCUCUGAAAAGUUUCCACUGGCGCAGAUCAGAGAUUCAGUAUCUGAACUCAUCUGCACAGCCUGGAUGUACAGUACAGGUUCUGUAACGAGCCGGCUGCACAUUUUGGGCCAACAAAUGAUAAAUAAUGAAGCUUUUGUCCUUCAGGGCUUGAAGCAGAAUGUAUUCCUUUCCAUAUGUUCUUCGUCAGUGUCAGCUGAAGCUGUGGCCGCCUUUGCUCUGGGGGUGAGCGGACGCAUCUAGUCCGAGGAGCUCCAUCAGUGGGGCCACUGUAAGCGCUGGCCUGUGUCGACCAGACGCUGGGGGGACCGGACACUAAAAAAUCACUGCGAGGAGGAACCGGCGAGAGCCGCUUUUUAAAGUCUGUGAAAUACGUGACAGAGAGCAGCACUCAGACCAAACGCAGCCUGAAAAGUGCAGAGCGAAAGCGCAGCGCAGGAGUCACAGCCUGCAAAUUCCGUCUUUCAGUUCUCUGACCUUCUAUUUUUUAAAUGUAUCACGAUUAAUGUCAUUUCUGUACCAACUAAUAGGCAUUAAACCAAAAUUAGUCCGGCCUUGUCAAGUUUAAUGUGGUAUUUCUUGAGUCACAUCUAUAUUACUCAUCCUCACUUCCCAGGAAAAAGCAGCAGGUCUGGAACACGGAGCUGAAUUAUGGCCAUUUUGUUGAGGAGGGUGGUGCUGUUCAUGUUCUAUGCAUCUCCAAUCACUGGCCUGGAUUAAUGUUGCAUUGAAACAACUGACAGUUACUGGGUUUUAUAUGUUAUAUUAUAAAAAUUAUCAUUUGUUUGUGGACUUCAUCUGCGCAAAUAAGACAUAAACGAGACAAAUUCCUAUAAUGUGUGUUAAUGUGUCACAUUCCCGUGGCUCAAGUUAAGACGUCAACUAAAUGAGACUUCAGAGAAAACAGUAAUUAUGCUGCAGGUAGAAAAGGUUGACAGUUCAAACCAUGUUCUGUAGAAGGCCAUUAUUAUCCACCUGCCAAUCGAAAGACAGCAAAGAUAGUAAGUGGAGCAGUUACAGUGCCUUGAAAACACACUGGAACCCCUGCACUUGUUUUUGCUGCUUGUUUUUAAGACGCGUCGUAACUUUAGAUGUUUCACUUUUACGACUGCUGGAAGUUAAUUGGCUUUGAAAAAUUGACAUUUCACAAACAACUUUUCAUCCAUCAACCAGGAUGACGACGUCUCAAGCGCAGCCGUCAGCACCAAUCCAGACUAAACAGUGGACCCGAAUACUUACAGUAGAACUGAAAUCAGCAUUUCAACACUGAUGAAACAAGGAGAUCAUGUGAACAUGAUGUAUGAAUGCCGCCAGCGCCCCGGGACCAAAACUCAUCUACUGUAAUCAGGUCUGUGGCAAAGGAAACAGUUCUGUGGUCAGUCAAAUCAAUAUCACUAUAUUGUUUAUGUGUAAACCAUGUGCGCUGCUUCCUCUUGACUGAGGAGCCUUCAGUCUGUUUUCACAGCUUGGCUUCUAUGUGUUGCUGCAAUCAGUUUCAAAAUGAUCUUAUAUUUACAUUAAAGAAGGUUUAUUAAAAAUGUAAGUGUUUUACACGUCCCAUUAAACUCACUCACUCACUCACUCACUCACUCACUCACUCACUCACUCACUCACUCACUCACUCACUCACUCACUCACUCACAUUAUACGAAAGGGUGAAGUAUAACAAUCGCACAAUCUCUUUACAGGAAUAUUACACGCACGGCCGUUCAGAUUCAGACUUCCCUUUUCUCUAAUUGGACUCUUUGUAUCUGAAUGGUGGAUGUACUGGCACCACACAUGAGAAAGAUGAA
This is a long non-coding RNA of Betta splendens (Siamese fighting fish), 3485 nucleotides long. RefSeq lists it as uncharacterized. The record is from RefSeq and is a predicted model, not a curated record. The transcript is spliced from 3 exons. Lineage: Eukaryota; Metazoa; Chordata; Actinopteri; Anabantiformes; Osphronemidae.